UGCCAGCCGCCGCGGUAAUACAGAGGGUGCAAGCGUUAAUCGGAAUGACUGGGCGUAAAGGGUGCGUAGGUGGAUAGAUAAGUCAGGUGUGAAAUUCCAGAGCUUAACUUUGGGUAGUCGCUUGAUACUGUAUAUCUUGAAUUGUGUUGAGGUUAGCGGAAUGAGUCAUGUAGCGGUGAAAUGCAUAGAUAUGACUUAGAACACCAAUUGCGAAGGCAGCUAGCUAGGCAUUGAUUGACGCUGAGGCACGAAAGCGUGGGGAGCGAACAGGAUUAGAUA
This 279-nucleotide ribosomal RNA is filed under the name uncultured bacterium. RNAcentral describes it as "partial 16S ribosomal RNA". It matches the Rfam family "Bacterial small subunit ribosomal RNA", at positions 506 to 784 of the family's 1533-position model. The record is from RNAcentral.